This 1203-nucleotide ribosomal RNA is filed under the name 'Dianthus barbatus' phytoplasma. RNAcentral describes it as "bacterial SSU rRNA". It matches the Rfam family "Bacterial small subunit ribosomal RNA", at positions 173 to 1374 of the family's 1533-position model. The record is from RNAcentral. Lineage: Bacteria; Bacillati; Mycoplasmatota; Mollicutes; Acholeplasmatales; Acholeplasmataceae.
AUAGGAAGAUAAAAGGCAUCUUGUAUCUUUUAAAAGACCUAGUUAAUAGGUAUGCUUUAGGAGGGGCUUGCGCCAUAUUAGUUAGUUGGUAGGGUAAUGGCCUACCAAGACGAUGAUGUGUAGCUGGACUGAGAGGUUGAACAGCCACAUUGGGACUGAGACACGGCCCAAACUCCUACGGGAGGCAGCAGUAGGGAAUUUUCGGCAAUGGAGGAAACUCUGACCGAGCAACGCCGCGUGAAUGACGAAGUACUUCGGUAUGUAAAGUUCUUUUAUCGAGGAAGAAAAGCAAAUGGCGAACCAUUUGUUUGCCGGUACUUGAUGAAUAAGCCCCGGCUAAUUAUGUGCCAGCAGCCGCGGUAAGACAUAAGGGGCAAGUGUUAUCCGGAAUUAUUGGGCGUAAAGGGUGCGUAGGCGGUCUAGUAAGUCAGUGGUGUAAUGGCAACGCUUAACGUUGUCCGGCUAUUGAAACUGCUAAACUUGAGUUAGAUAGAGGCGAGUGGAAUUCCAUGUGUAGCGGUAAAAUGCGUAAAUAUAUGGAGGAACACCAGAGGCGUAGGCGGCUCGCUGGGUCUUAACUGACGCUGAGGCACGAAAGCGUGGGGAGCAAACAGGAUUAGAUACCCUGGUAGUCCACGCCGUAAACGAUGAGUACUAAGUGUCGGGUUAAACCGGUACUGAAGUUAACACAUUAAGUACUCCGCCUGAGUAGUACGUACGCAAGUAUGAAACUUAAAGGAAUUGACGGGACUCCGCACAAGCGGUGGAUCAUGUUGUUUAAUUCGAAGAUACCCGAAAAACCUUACCAGGUCUUGACAUGUUUUUGCAAAAUGAUAGUAAUAUCGUGGAGGUUACCAGAAACACAGGUGGUGCAUGGUUGUCGUCAGCUCGUGUCGUGAGAUGUUAGGUUAAGUCCUAAAACGAGCGAAACCCUUAUCGUUAGUUGCCAGCACGUUAUGGUGGGGACUUUAACGAGACUGCCAAUGAUAAAUUGGAGGAAGGUGAGGAUCACGUCAAAUCAGCAUGCCCCUUAUGACCUGGGCUACAAACGUGAUACAAUGGCUGUUACAAAGGGUAGCUGAAACGCAAGUUCUUGGCCAAUCCCCAAAAACAGUCCCAGUCCGGAUUGAAGUCUGCAACUCGACUUCAUGAAGUUGGAAUCGCUAGUAAUCGCGAAUCAGCAUGUCGCGGUGAAUACGUUCU